AAAUCGGAGGGAAGAAACAGUACGAAGCUGGACUGAAUGGAGAAAUGCCUGGCAUGAGUGGUGCCGUGAGUCAGCGCAGAUCCAAGCUCUGUCCCUCUGCCCCUCUGCUCUGCUCUUUGCCAGACCACACAGCCUCCCUCCCCUCCUGCCAAGCGUGGCCAGCGUGCCGUCCAGACACAAUCAAGGCCUGAAAAGACGAUGAGAAUGCAGAUCUGGAAAUUCUGGCUGUAAAAUACCCCACAGAAAGGUGAACGAAGAAGGAACCACAAAUAAAGUCACCGCCACUGAGUGUUUACUGUGUGUUAUGGGUUGAACUGUGCCCACCCCCAAAAACCCAUGUGUUCCAGUCCUAACCCCCAGAGUGUGCCCUUAUUUGGAAAUAAGGUUGGUGCAGACACAAUUAGUUAAGCUGAGGUCAUAAGGAGCAGAGUGGGCCCCUUAUCCAAUACGACUGGUGUCCUCACGAAAAGGGAAAAUUUGAACACAGACACACUCAGGGAGAACACCGUGUGAAGAGUGGAGUCACGCUGCCCCAAACCAAGGACCUACCAGAAGCUCCGAGAGAGGCCUGGAACAGAUCCUUCUCUGGAGCUUUCAGAGGGAGCACAACCCUGACGACACCUGGAUCUUGGACUUCCGGCCUCCAGAACUGUGAGACAACAAAUUCCUGUUGUUUCAGCCUCUCAGUUCAUGGUCCUCUGUUACAGCAGCCCUGGCAAAUGCAUAUGAUAUGUAAUAGGUGCUAUGCUAACUGAUUUACAUCCACUGUCUCAUUUAACCCUCGGGACAACCCAUCAAUAGGUACCAUGGUCCGUUUUAUGGAAGAAUAAAUUAAACGAGAGGAAGGGUAAGUAACUUGUUCAAGGCUGAGCUGCUUCAAUCUAAAAGGACAGUGGUAUUCAAAGCCUCGGGCUCAGGGAAGCCCGCCCCACACCCAACCUACCCUAAUUGGGUAAAUCC
This 960-nucleotide long non-coding RNA is filed under the name Equus caballus (horse). RNAcentral describes it as "lncRNA (ENSECAG00000046671.1)". Lineage: Eukaryota; Metazoa; Chordata; Mammalia; Perissodactyla; Equidae. The record is from RNAcentral.